This is a long non-coding RNA of Anguilla rostrata (American eel), 413 nucleotides long. RefSeq lists it as uncharacterized. The record is from RefSeq and is a predicted model, not a curated record. The transcript is spliced from 3 exons. NCBI's taxonomy places the organism in Eukaryota, Metazoa, Chordata, Actinopteri, Anguilliformes, Anguillidae.
CAGGGUCUCCAAAGGCACAACAGGUACCAGGAGCAGUGGGGCCCCAUUCCUCCCCGAACCCCAAAAUUCAGCGUGCUCCUGGAUAAAACCUCCUAGCACCUCAACUCAGGGAGAAAACCUGGCCCACAUUCAUAGACUGGUCAUCCUACAGGAGGAAACGGGGUGAGAACAAUGGGCUUGGCUCCAUUGAACAGAGGGCCAUUGAAGCUCGAGGCAGCCAUGAAGAUGGAGUUAAUCGCACAGAAUGUUUUGGCUCCAGAAAUCAGACGCGAACACAACAGACAGAGGUAGGGCCACUCUGGGCCUGUGGUGGCUUGGUAAAGUGGAUACUGUAUAAGGAUUCUGUCUGUUGUAUAAUAUCUUUGUAGCAGUGCAUUGUGGGUAUUACAAUACACUUCUGUUUCAUGUCAGAG